Molecule: RNA transcript, 3958 nt
Organism: Leptopilina boulardi
Lineage: Eukaryota; Metazoa; Arthropoda; Insecta; Hymenoptera; Figitidae
Gene: NLG-4
Gene name: neuroligin-2
Exons: 14
Source: RefSeq, a predicted model, not a curated record
CGAGCUUUUCAUUUCAUAAUUUUAGUUUGUCCAGCAACAUUCGUGUUGCCUAAGGUGAUGAUUUGUCUAGGUGUUACAUUUCCUGUUUAUAGGAUACAUUUUAAUUUUAACAUUUUACAUAUUUGUGUCUAAUAUUGACUGCCAGUGUUAAAAAUAAUAAAAGUGUUCGAAACACUUCUUAAAAAAUUGAAGUCUUUUAAUAUUUUCGCAUUGUAAUGGACCAUGCGAAAUAUUUUCCACGAUUUACUAUGCCAUAAAUGAAGUCAAGAAAACCCUUUGAUGUACUUAAGUUAUUAUAGUCAGUAUUUCUAAAAGGAGCCACCCGAUACGCAUUUCAAGUUGGACCAACGUUGGCGUCAGUUGUCUUGCCAACUAAUGACACCAAUGGUUGGCGGACCGUUAUCAUUUGUAUAGUGCGGAAUUAUAAGUGUGAUUAAGAUAGACCAUAUCGUACAAAAUGGAAUAAUAAAGAGUUUCAAUAUAAUUUCUUCAAAAAAAUGUAAUAAGCAUUAAUCUUUGAUCAAUUGAUAUGUGUCAUAAUGAAAAAUAUUUUUAUUCUUCUCUUCUUGUUCGUUCCAAUUUCAUUUCUAAAGGAAAUUAAAAUUAAAGUUAAUCCACGCAUUGUAAAUACAAGAUACGGAAAAGUUCAAGGGUUAAUUCAAACAUUUGAUUACAAUAAAGUUCUAAAACCCAUUGAUGUAUACCUUGGUAUGCCAUAUGCUACUCCACCUACCGGUAAUAAUCGAUUUUCACCAACUAGAGCACCUAGUCCGUGGGAUGGAAUCAGGUUAUUUGAUUCUGUAGGACCUGUUUGUCCUCAAAAUUAUCCAGAUGUGUCUAAUGAAAAUGAAAUCUUAACGCAAAUGCCAAAAGGAAGGAUAGAGUACUUAAAAAGACUUUUACCUCACUUACAAAAUCAAAGUGAAGAUUGUCUUUAUCUAAACAUAUAUGCUCCUACAAUGGGUACAAUUGAUAGUGGUAAUAGAUUUCCUGUAGUAUUGUAUAUUCAUGGAGAAAGUUAUGAGUGGGGUAGUGGCAGUUUAUACGAUGGUAGCGUUUUGGCAAGCUACAUGGAUCAAGUGAUUGUGACAAUCAAUUAUCGCUUAGGAGUUCUUGGAUUUUUAAAUACUAAUGUUUCCCCACAAACUCGAGCUAGAGUAGCUAACUAUGGACUAAUGGAUCAAAUAGCAGCACUUCACUGGAUCCAACAAAAUAUAUUUUUAUUUGGCGGAGAUCCUGGUAAUGUUACUCUAAUGGGACAAGGAACAGGUGCAGCUUGUGUUAACUUCCUUGCCAUCAGUCCUACAGUUAUAAAUGGACUCUUUAAAAGAGCUAUUCUUUUAUCCGGCAGUGCUUUAUCAUCUUGGUCAUUAGUAGAAGAUCCUGUGACCUAUGCUGUAAAAUUAGCCACGUCCAUUAACUGCUCAAUUCCAGAUGAUCUGUUAAAGGAUAAUGAACUUAUAGUAGAUUGUCUGAGAGAAAAAAACCUUCAAGAAUUACUUCAUGUACAAGUAGAAGCACCAACUUUUUUAAGUGCCUUUGGACCAAGCGUCGAUGGAGUUGUAAUUAAAACAGACUUUCAGAAAGACCUAUUAUCUUAUUUAGAUACUGAAUUUCAAACUUUUGGUCAAUUUCAUAAAAAGUCUGAACAUGGAACGCCAAUUACGAGUAAUAAUAAAUAUGACUUGCUCUUCGGUGUCACUACAAAUGAAGCACUGUGGAAAUUUGCUGAUAAAGAUAUACAACAAGGAUUUGAAGGUGAUAGGAGGGAUCGAAUUAUCAGAACUUAUGUGAGGAACUCAUAUUCUUAUCAUCUGACUGAAAUUUUUUAUACGAUUGUUAAUGAGUAUACUGACUGGGAAAGAACUGUGCAGCAUCCUGUGAAUAUAAGAGAUUCCUGCGUGCAAGCUUUAAGUGACGCUCAAUAUGUGGCACCAUUGGUACAAAUGGGAGAUUUAUUUACAUUAAGGCAUACGAAAAAGUUAAAUUCACCGCACUCACUGCAAUUACUUGAAACUGAUAAGGAACCAGUGCCGAAAACUUAUUUCUACGUAUUUGAUUAUCAAACGAAAGAUGGCGAUUACCCUCAGAGAAUGGGUGUUGUUCAUGGAGAAGAACUUUCGUUUGUUUUUGGUGCCCCAUUAGCAGAUGGUAUUGGAUAUUUUCUAAAAAAUUACACAAGAGCUGAAGUAUCCUUAUCAGAAGGCAUUAUUCAAUUCUUCGCUAAUUUCAUUCGUACGGGAAAUCCAAAUGCUGCAGAGAACCAUGUGAGAAGUGAUGCUGUUUUACCUAUUAGUAGAGAACGUAGCAGAUUUCGAAAUAUAAAUUGGGAGCAGUAUGAUCCAGUGCAUCAGAAGUACUUAGAAAUUGGGAUGAAACCAAGAAUUAAAAAUCAUUAUCGUGCGCAUCAAUUAUCGGUUUGGCUACGGUUGAUACCUGAACUUCACCGAGCUGGAAUGGAAGAUGUGGAGCCAAGACAUAAUUUAUUCAAAGGAUACACAGAUCAAAAUAUGUACGAUGGUUUAGUGCGACCCGAUCCAUUACGUAGAUUGGAUGACGAAUUUUCAAAAAGAAAUAUAACAACAGAUGUAUCAACUGCAAUGGACUUCAGUGUUACAACUUGUGUUGGUUUGAUACAGAGUACCAAACUUCAAAAUAUUAAUAAUUCAUCUACCGACACACUUGCGAGUUUAGAUGCAGCGGGAUAUGCAGCAUACUCUACAGCAUUAAGUGUAACAAUAGCAAUUGGUUGCAGUUUACUCAUUCUCAAUGUACUAAUCUUUGCUGGUGUAUAUUAUCAGAGAGAUAAAACUAGAAUGGAAGUGAAAAAUUUACAAAAGAAGCGAAUUUUAAAUCAGUCAUGUGGACCUAGGACAUUCAAUGAACUGAAGCAGUUACCCCAUUCACAUUUUAUAGAUAAUAAUCCCAUUAUUGUGGAUGUUGAAAAUGAAAUACUUAGAAGAUUAAUUUAGAUGUUAAAAAUUGAGAUUCUUAGAACAAAAUUUGAAAUAAAAUUUCUGUAACGUGAGUGAAGAAAAAGAUUGUUAAAUCGGGCUGUAACUUGCACAUAGUUUAGCUCUAUGGGAAGACAUUUACUGCGGUGGAACAAGGAUCGUAACAUUUAAUUGAGAAUACGUGAAGGACACAUUAAUUUGCAACAUAUUAAAAGUAACAUUAAAAAAGUGAAUAAAGAAAUUGGAAAAUCCACAUACAAGUAUCAAGGAAUUAUCUUAAAUGAACUACCAAAAAGCAUGAACAAGGUUGCAGUCAGUAUGCUGAAGCAAAAAAUGCAAAAUUUUAAUAAUUAAGUUUGGCAAUGUACAAAAUGUGUAUUGAUAUUGAAAACGUAAGAAUUUUUUCUUGAAUGCCAGAAUAUACGAUUUUUAGAUCCCGAAAGGCUAUUUAAGCUUUUAAUUUUGUGAAAUAUUUAAGAAAAUUUAUUAUUAAUUAUAUAAUUGUAAGGAUGUAAAAAAUAAUAAUUUGCACUAUUCUUAUUGGAGUAGUGUAAAUAGAAAAUAUCAGAUUUCAUUCUUUUGUAUGUUUUUCCCACCCGGAUAUCCUUCAGUUAUCUUGUGUUUUUAGAUAAAUGAUGCUGCUAAAGAAGAGAAAUAAGUAAGGUAAAUUAAAUGAUUGUUGCACAUGUAUUAGUGGCUAAGCGUGAGAAAAUGAUUUAUAAAAAAUAAGCAUUCUUAUACCUUUAUAAUUUAAGGCAGGAAUGUGAAGAAUAAUUUUGUACCAAAAAAUAGAAGAAAUGUCUUUAUUUUGUAUAAUUAUUUUUUUAACUUCAUAUGUGCUCACACGAUGAGCUUGGACUAACUUUAACUCAAAAGUACUGGCCUAUUUUGUCUCUUUUUAGAUAUCAAUUCUACAUUACUUACAGAGUAAUUUGAACCUAAGAUGAAAAAAAUCAGAAGAGGAAUUUUCGUAUAAACUCAAUUUUAGUGCAUUUUAAAAUUUU